UAUGGCACAUCACUCACUGGAUCCAGAUGGGCAACAUUCCGCUUCAAGAUUAAAGAGUACAAUUUUUGCAUGCUAUCAUUGCUUAUCCAAGAGUAAUCUACCAUGUGCCUAAUAUAUAUACAUGAUUGUUGCACCAUCACAAGAUUUCCAUUAUAUAAAUGGGCAUAACUUUCUUUACUGUGAAUUAAUCAACGUGAUGCUUCUGUUUUAAGGAAUGGCAAUGCUAAAUUCUACAGUGGUACUCUCUACUCUGUCGAAUGUUUACAAACACCAGAAAGCUAGAGAUCUAUUGUGGAAAACUUUCUUUCUUUUGUUUGUUAUAACUUCUUAGUGUAAAAAUAAAUAUGGCUUGUCCAUUACGAAACAAAUAUGUAAGAUUUAUUACUUUUCAAAGUUGAAUUGUUCCUGACAAUUACAUAUGAGAGUGCAUAUAAUUGAGUUGUGCUGACUUGCUGUUUCUAAAAUGAUAAGCUGGAGCUGGAGUUACAUAUGAGAGUAGAGAUAAUUAAGUUGUGCUCCUGACUUGAUUAACAAAAGCUGCAGAAGAAAGGGACAAAAUACCAGAAAGCUGAAAAUUCAAAGAAAGGUGGAAGUAGGGAACUACACAACUUGAUUCAAGGUUACAAAGGGACAAAGGGCAUUGAUUGAGCAGGAGAAAACAAUAAUGGGCCAAGGCAAGGAUAUAGUGCUCAAUUAGUAAAGAGAUAUGUGGGAAGUGGGGCAGCGGGAUGCAAAUGGAAUUUUUGUGACUCACUGAAGGUGAGCAAAACUUCAGAAAAGAAAUUGCAACCGAAGUAGAGCCUCAUCACCAAGAGAACAUAGGGAUUUUAAGUUUUUUGUAGCCUGCACCGGAGACUGUAGAGUUAAGUUUCUACAUCUCAGCGUACAGUUUAACUAUAUCAGGUUAUUUACUAUGUAGUAAAUAUUUUCUUUUGCCAUUGCUGAUCAUGUCCUUCUCUCUGUGCUUGGAAGCAUAAACUUACUUAGUGAUCCUUUUCUAUUAGGCUAAACUUACAUCCUUCUGCUAAUAGUUUAGUGAUAUAAAGAUUCUAAUGAUUAUUCAGAAGGGACAUUGCAUGUUCCUAGAUGCAUAGCCUUUCUUAUAUAUGUUUUCGUAACACUGGAAUUUUUUAGGGAUAACACUGGGAUUUUAGUUUUUUUGUUGAAUUCUGAAAUUGAAAUCCGAAUAAACCAUAUCUUGAAAGGCCAGCAUAAUGGCACUUCAAAUAAAUGCUAAUCUACACUCACACUGCAGGCUGGUGCCCGUUCUUCUGGUGAUUUGGUCAAAGCUACUACUAAGCAAAGAUAUUUUGCAUGCUAUAAGAACCAAGUUAUGGCUUUUGUGUUCCGAGAUAAUAACUAACAAAAAAAUAGGGAAUAAUUAUUUAUAAUACGGUUUACUGAAGAUGCAUUAACUGUAGGUCCUUUGGCAUGCUAACCAUUUUUUGUAGUACUAAAUAUUGUUUCACAAAACCUGUCAUUUCCUUCAUCAUCGAUAAAAGCAUCAACACUUGUGUCACGACCGAAUUUUUUGACCCGGUGAACGACUAAUUCAUUACAACUGAUGUUUGCUCAAUAGGAGAGCGGGACAUUGUGGGCAUUAAUUGUGUGUCAAAGCCUCAAGGGAAGGGAGGACCAAGGAGAAGCCAAGCCGAGAAGGAGAUAACAUUCGGGCCUAGGCCACUCUUACUAGGUGGUGCCCGAGCCCGGCCUAUGGAGGCACGCGGGACAGCGGGAGUUUGAGGGACUAGGCCACUGGGCCUCGAGUUGCACACAUACAUACAGGACCCGCCCUUCCAACAUGAAACAAGUCCACAACAAUAUAAGUCAAAAUCGAGUGGGAGUAUGAGGGAUUACGUAUGGAUCAGAUGCACGGUAUAACUAUUUAUUGAACGGUCUCAUAUGGUGAAAAUUGAGGGUUCUUGUAUACAUGGCGCGGUC
Molecule: long non-coding RNA, 1941 nt
Filed under: Triticum aestivum (bread wheat)
Lineage: Eukaryota; Viridiplantae; Streptophyta; Magnoliopsida; Poales; Poaceae
Description: long non-coding RNA (TAES_LNC027948)
Source: RNAcentral